This is a small nuclear RNA of Etheostoma spectabile (orangethroat darter), 160 nucleotides long. RefSeq annotates it as U1 spliceosomal RNA. The record is from RefSeq and is a predicted model, not a curated record. Lineage: Eukaryota; Metazoa; Chordata; Actinopteri; Perciformes; Percidae. The transcript has a single exon.
UUAAUUACUGGCAGGGAUGAAUAACAUGAUCAAGAUGGUGGUUCACCAGGCGAGCUUAACCAUUCACUCGGUUAUGCGGAACCCUGCGAAUUCCCAAAUGCGUGGAUCUCGACUGCUUAAUUUGUGCGGUAGUGGGGGACUGCGUUCGCGCUCUCCCAGA